AUAUGGUUCGAUUCCGGAGAGGGAGCCUGAGAAAGGCUACCACAUCCAGGAAGGCAGCAGGCGCGCAACUUACCCAAUCCCGACACGGGGAGGUAGUGACAAUAAAUAACAAUACAGGGCUCUUUUGGGUCUUGUAAUUGGAAUGAGUACAAUUUAAAUCCCUUAACGAGGAACAAUUGGAGGGCAAGUCUGGUGCCAGCAGCCGCGGUAAUUCCAGCUCCAAUAGCGUAUAUUAAAGUUGUUGCAGUUAAAAAGCCCGUAGUUGAAUUUGAGAAUUAAUUUUAAGGUCCAUUUAACGAUGAGUACUUUAAAAUUGAUUCUUACCUUUUGGUGAACUAAAUGAUUGAAAG
This 350-nucleotide ribosomal RNA is filed under the name Glomus sp. SDGS. Its description in RNAcentral is "SSU rRNA". It matches the Rfam family "Eukaryotic small subunit ribosomal RNA", at positions 369 to 721 of the family's 1831-position model. The record is from RNAcentral. Lineage: Eukaryota; Fungi; Glomeromycota; Glomeromycetes; Glomerales; Glomeraceae.